Long non-coding RNA from Eubalaena glacialis (North Atlantic right whale), 855 nucleotides. RefSeq lists it as uncharacterized. The record is from RefSeq and is a predicted model, not a curated record. The transcript is spliced from 4 exons. Lineage: Eukaryota; Metazoa; Chordata; Mammalia; Artiodactyla; Balaenidae.
CGCCGCCCGUCCUCGCAGCGGGCUGCUCUGACCCUCCGUGGCGCGGGCCGCGGCCGUGCGGCGUGGCCGCCUGUCCUCGGUGAACCGCAGGCGCCCGGGGCGGCGCCUCCCGCACUGCCGACUCCUAGGCCUGGGGCAGCGGCCCGUUAGCGAGUGUGCCUUGGCCCUGGUUUCCCAGUUAUCUGCUGCGCCACGACCAGUCACUGCAAACCGCAGGUGCUAAAGACGGAAACGUCUCUGAGUCGCACCGUUCCGGAGGGUCACUGCUGGGGUGGCCGGAGGUGGGGCAGCUCGUCAUCGCAGCGCCUGUCCGCCCCAUGGGACUGCUCGAGUGUCGUUACAACGCAGCGGGUGGUCCAGAGAGCCAGGACGAAGUCCCGGUGCUUCCAGAGUCACCUAUGUCGUCACCCAGUUCGGCCCCUCCGACCGGGAAGGACGACCGGGGCCGUGACACCGACGGGCAGGAUCCCAGGGCCGACGCGAGGCUGCCGGCCGCUCCCGGUGCAGGUGGAGAGGCACCAGCUGCCCCCGAGCUCGCACCGUGACGCCCGGGGGCUGGAAGGGUGCCAUGGUGUCUACACAGCAAUGACAGAGUGAGAAGCUGCUCCGUGCGACCCAGAGGAAUCUCAGACAGAAGACGACGCAACUGUGGAAGAGCACACGGGGUGACUCCAUCCACAUGGCGCUGCGGGGCAGAAAACUACUAGAGGAUGCGCUCCAUUGAGAUGAGGGCAUCGGCGAAGAAAGAGGAUGCCAGGAAUACAGCUCGAAGUUCCCUCCAUUGUUGUCACCAAUGACUUCAGCACCCAAGGAGAAGAGUGUUGUCCCCAGAAGCUUCUGUGAAAAGUUUGAGGU